This 338-nucleotide unclassified non-coding RNA is filed under the name Typhula maritima. RNAcentral's name for it is "partial contains 5.8S ribosomal RNA, internal transcribed spacer 2, and large subunit ribosomal RNA". The record is from RNAcentral. Lineage: Eukaryota; Fungi; Basidiomycota; Agaricomycetes; Agaricales; Typhulaceae.
CGCACCUUGCGCUCCUUGGUAUUCCGAGGAGCAUGCCUGUUUGAGUGUCAUUAAAUUCUCAACCACGAGACGUUCGAAAGGACGGCUUCGUCGGCUUGGAUCUUGGAGUGUGCUGGAACCGUCUUCGGGCGAACGUCAGCUCCUCUUUAAAUGCAUUAGCUGGAACCUCUCGUGGACCAGACUACGGUGUGAUAAUUAUCUACGCUGUUUUCUCGUGAAGCGCUUCGUUAUGGGGUUCUGCUUCCAACCGUCCGCAAGGACAGUAUAGGAGGUCCUUCACUGGAUCGCCUCAUUGACAUUUUGACCUCAAAUCAGGUAGGACUACCCGCUGAACUUAA